UAAAGCUUCAAACUGGGAUUAGAUACCCCACUAUUCUUGGUUUUAAAUUAACUAAGAUUUACCAGAGUACUACGAAUUAAUAAAAUUUAAAACUCUAAGGGCUUGGCGGUGUUUUAGACCUUUCAGGGGAACUUGUCUCAUAAUCGACAAUCCACGUUAUACCUAACCUUUUUUAGUACUCAGUUUGUAUAUCGUCGUCGUCAGGUAACUUUUUAGAAUUUAGAAGUUAGCAACUGAAAUUUAAAUUAAAUUCAAACGUCAGAUCAAGAUGCAGCUAAUAAAAAGGUGAUGAUGAGUUACAAUUAAUAAAUUUGUAAAUAUGAAUAAAUUAAUGAAAAAUUAGUUUUGAAGGUGGACUUGAAAGUAAAAUAAAAUAUAUAAAUAUCUUGAAUAAGGCUCUGAAACAUGCACACACCGCCCGUCACCCUCUGCAGUCAAAUAG
This 442-nucleotide ribosomal RNA is filed under the name Distorsio reticularis. RNAcentral describes it as "partial 12S ribosomal RNA". It matches the Rfam family "Microsporidia small subunit ribosomal RNA", at positions 644 to 1219 of the family's 1311-position model. Lineage: Eukaryota; Metazoa; Mollusca; Gastropoda; Littorinimorpha; Personidae. The record is from RNAcentral.